UACGUAGGGUGCGAGCGUUGUCCGGAAUUAUUGGGCGUAAAGAGCUCGUAGGCGGCUUGUCGCGUCGGCUGUGAAAACCCGGGGCUCAACCCCGGGCCUGCAGCCGAUACGGGCAGACUAGAGUUCGGCAGGGGAGACUGGAAUUCCUGGUGUAGCGGUGAAAUGCGCAGAUAUCGGGAGGAACACCAAUUGCGAAGGCAGCUCGCUGGGACGUCACUGACGCUGAGACGCGAAAGCGUGGGGAGCAAACAGG
RNAcentral lists this ribosomal RNA (253 nucleotides) under uncultured bacterium. RNAcentral describes it as "partial 16S ribosomal RNA". It matches the Rfam family "Bacterial small subunit ribosomal RNA", at positions 524 to 776 of the family's 1533-position model. The record is from RNAcentral.